GUACACUCCUACGGGAGGCAGCAGUGGGGAAUUUUGGACAAUGGGCGAAAGCCUGAUCCAGCAAUGCCGCGUGAGUGAAGAAGGCCUUCGGGUUGUAAAGCUCUUUUGUCAGGGAAGAAACGGUGAAAGCUAAUAUCUUUUGCUAAUGACGGUACCUGAAGAAUAAGCACCGGCUAACUACGUGCCAGCAGCCGCGGUAAUACGUAGGGUGCAAGCGUUAAUCGGAAUUACUGGGCGUAAAGCGUGCGCAGGCGGUUUUGUAAGUCUGAUGUGAAAUCCCCGGGCUCAACCUGGGAAUUGCAUUGGAGACUGCAAGGCUAGAAUCUGGCAGAGGGGGGUAGAAUUCCACGUGUAGCAGUGAAAUGCGUAGAUAUGUGGAGGAACACCGAUGGCGAAGGCAGCCCCCUGGGUCAAGAUUGACGCUCAUGCACGAAAGCGUGGGGAGCAAACAGGAUUAGAAACCCGUGUAGUCCCAU
Molecule: ribosomal RNA, 476 nt
Filed under: uncultured organism
Description: partial 16S ribosomal RNA
Rfam family: Bacterial small subunit ribosomal RNA
Source: RNAcentral